Non-coding RNA from Equus caballus (horse), 5412 nucleotides. Lineage: Eukaryota; Metazoa; Chordata; Mammalia; Perissodactyla; Equidae. The record is from RefSeq and is a predicted model, not a curated record.
UCCAGCCAGGAACAUCUGAAUCCCACUGCACCCCCACUCUGGUAUCCAAGGACACCUUAGACUCUACAAGGUCUACGAAGGUCACUGAGUCACUACAUGACUCCACUUCUGCCAUGUCCCUUGCCAGUUCAUACGCAGACUGUCUCUGCCUGCAACAGCUCCCCAUCUGGUCUCCCCUCCUGCACUGCUCCCUCGAUUCACGCCCCCCACAGCCAGAGUGACCUUCCUCAGCAGACAGAUCCAAUCAUGUCACCCUUCUGCUUAACAUCCUUUAAGCCUCCCCACCUCCAAAGCAAGGUCCAAAGAGCCUGAGCAGAGCCUUCCAGACAGCCUGCAGGAGGUCUGGUUCCUGCUCCCCUCUCCAUGUGCCUCUCUUUCAUUUCUUGUACAUUAUGCUCCGGUCAUGAUGAAUGACUUAUAGUCCCCUUGGCCAGGCUUCCCUGUUGUCUCCUUCAUGCUUUCACCAGUGUUGAUUCCUCUUCCUAACUUUUCGCAUGACUAACUAACUCCUACUGGUCCUUCAGUGCUCAGCUCCUAGUCACCAAUUCUGGAAGUCUCCCAUGGCCUCCCCAUCCCCUCCCUCUGUGCUCCCACAGCACCCUGUGCUUUCCUCUCUCAUGGCACUUCUCCUGCUCUUCAGGAAUUGGCUGUUCGCUGGCCUGUCUCCCCACUAGGCUUUGGGGGCCUUGAGGACUGGUACCGAGUCUUACCUGUGUGUUCCCAGUACCUACAGGCCAGUCAGUGCUCAAUGCAUUGUUAGAAAUGAAUGAAUGAAUGAAUGAAUGAAUGAAGAGAUUGAGAUUUCUCAGUAAACUUCAGAAGGCACUGGAUUUCCAAGAAGAAUAAAAAUCCAAUUUCUCUGGGACUUUUGGCUUUUACAGUGUUCUUCUUCCUGUCUUGUUCACCAAGGAGUCUUUGGGGUCUGGGGGAUCUUGAUUAUUUCACCUGAAGCUUCUCUCCAGGGACCCUUCUCCCUUCAUUCCCACACAUCACUCACAGACCUCCUUCUUUCUUCCUCAAGCCCAUCAGUUACUAUUAAGGGCUUGAUAAAUGUAGGGCAUAGGAGAAGGGAGCAAAAAAAGGACUUGUUUUUCUCUUAAGAGAAAUAUCUAUGCUUACCCUCCCUUGCUGGAGCAACAGGAAACACCUGAAGAUUGCUGACCAAGCAUUGUGCAAGCAGGCCAACCCAAACCUGAAACCCAGAGAGCACUUACCAAGAAAGGAAGUACUGAUGGAGCACACAGAAGAGUGAGUCGACAUCCAGGGGCAGUCUGGAAGACUUCCUAGAGGUUUUUUAAAAGCUCUCCCAGGAGAUUCCAAUGUGCCGCCAAAUUUGAGAGCCUUUCUUGAAGAUCCUCAUGGAUCCGGCCUGGGAGAUGAAUGAAAUCAAACCAAGUUUGAGGAGAACAUGUGAGGUCCUGCAGCCAGGGACUUGCUCCUGAGUUUGAAGGACAAGGCCAUGACCCCGAGAAGAAUCAUCUCUGCUGACCUCUAAAUCAGUCAAGAGCAUUGUGAAGUUAUGUCCACUCAUUCUACCAUCAGUUGGUACUCACUUCGUGCCUAUUUUGAAAACAAGUCAGUCCGUCUCUGCUUUCAAGGGUCUGGUUGGGGGAGAUGGGUCUAAAAUGCACAAGUGAACCCUACGUGACUUCUGAUAAGAUGUGGAGAGUCCAGGUGCCAUUGGGACAUCUAAUCUGGCCUCCUGUAUCCUUUCAAGUCAUCUUAAGGAGUCCACAGACUGGGGUGAAUGAAGUAUUUCUCUCUCAUCCCCCUCCUACAGAACAGCUUGGGGCAAAUCCUGUCACCAAGUAGAAACCAGUGCUGUAAGAACAUGGAGGAUGAUCAGGUGAGCUCUGACAUCCAGGAGGAUUCAUCACAGCAAACCUUGAAAGAUGGAUGAGAUUUUCAGAGGGUGAACGUGGAAGAAGGGGAAAGCAUUUCGCUCCUCACCUAUUUUGCUGGACUUUCUCCCAUCUCUCUCUCUUUUUUAAAAGUCCAUGGAUCAAAACUGAGAUGCCAGCUCCCAGUUAGGACAAGCCCAGUGUGGAGGACAGAGCUGGGGAUUGCUUCUUGGCCUUUGCGUGGCCCACGUCUACUAAUGCUCCUGGCGGCACACUGCCUUCCCCGCAUCAGGGCACGUGUGCAGCUGUGAUCAGUGAAAAGCCGCUCCAACCACCACCCUCAUCUCCAAACAAUAAAGCUUCAUUGGUGAAGGCAUUUGAGAAUUACAGUGGCUUGUUAAUCUCACGUCAGUCAUCCCUAUCUUAUUGAAUUUAAGAAGAAGGGAAACUCAACACUGCUCAAGAGCAGUCCCUCUAAAUAUAAAUGUUUACCUCAAGGCAUUGCACUUCUUUCAAAACACUCUCUUCCCAUUCCUGUCCUUGCCAUUUCACUCCCUGUCCACCUCAUGGGAGUUCACCCCCUCUCACUUCCUGCCCAACCCAAGCCUGGUAUGGACAUUUUCUAUAACUAAAUUAGUCUUUAGAUGUCUCUAGCUGUAUUUGUUUUCUUCUCCUACCUUUUUUCUUUUCCUUUCCUACUCUUUCAUGUCAGACUUAAUUAAUCAAUAAACUUUUAUUGAGCAUUUCCUAAGUGCUGGGUUCAAUCAGGGAAUAUAUAGACAAACCCAGGGGCUAGUCCUGGUCCUGAAGCCCUUAUGAUCUAACUGAUGAGACGAGGACAAACGGAGGUAGGUAAAGAUCAUGUGGCGUUAGCUGGCAUGGUGGUGUUGGUAUAAACCAAGGGCUUGGGUGGUUAGGGCUUCACACUUCAAGGAGGGGAGACUUCCACACGGGGCGGUGGAUAGAAUCUGGAACUACAGGGACUUUGUGACUGGCCAUAACUGAAGACUUGCGUGUACCAAGCAGUAUGCCAAGUAUUUUCUUCCCAGUCUCUCAUUUUAUCCUUAGCAACUCCAUGAAGGAGGCAUUUUUAUUAUUUCCGUUUUCCUGGUGAUUAAAUGAAAACUUCUGUGGAUGAGGCAGCCUUCCAAAAUCACAGAGCCAGGAAGGAGCUGAGUUGGGAGUCCAGCCCAGGCCUGUGGGACCCCAGACAUCAAGGUUUGGGUCACAUUGCUGCACAGUCUCUGGCCUCAGUUUCCUGUGUGUAAAACAGAAAAUAGCAAUUCUGCCUUCACAUGCUUGGUGGGAAGAUUACAUGAGAUGUAAUAAAGCUCCCACUGCAGUGCCUGGUGCCGUCGGUACCCAGUCAUCAGUGGCCAUCAUCAUCAUCAUUAUUGCAUUCUUAGUGUUAAAGUUUCACAGGGGAAGCAGGGGGAGGGCCUUGGACAUUAUUGAUUAAGCGGAAAGAGGUGGGCAUUCCAUGCAGCGAGGUGGGAAGAACAAAGACUCAGGUCCCAGAGGGUGUGGUGUUCUCAGGGACUCAGGACCCACCUGAUUUGGCUGAACCUGAGGCCUGGUUUGAGCUGAGGGGUGAGACAAAGCUGGGAAAUUGAGACUCUUGAGUGCAGGCUCAGGAGUUUGUUCUUGAUCCUGUGGACUAUGGGAAUGACAUUUCAAAGCAAUUGUGUGUGUGUGUUUUAACAUCCACUAAUGGUGAAAUUAUCUUAAAAUAGUCUUAUUUUUUGUUUUGAAUAGUAAUAUUUUAUAUAGAUCAAAAAUCAAAAUUCUAAAUAAAGAUACACAAUAACAUGUCUCGUUCUCCCCUUGUCCUGACCACUCCAUUCUAUAACCCCUACAGGUAACCGCUGAGAUUAAUUUCUUGUGUAUCCUUCCACUAUUUCGUGCAGAUAUGAACACAAAUAAAUGUAUAUUUUUAUUCCACUGACUUUUGUACUCAAAAGGUAGCAUACUAAAUAUGCUGUUUUCACUUUACCUUCUUUUCGCUUUAUAAUAUAUCCAGAGAUUUUUUCUGUAUCAAAACAUAGAGAAACUCUCAAUCUCUUUUUAUAGCAGUAGAGUAUUCCAUAUGUGGAUAUACCAUGGUUUAUUUUACCAACCCCCUAGUGAUGGACACUUGGGCUGUGUCCAAUCUUUCACUACUGCAGAUCAUUCUGCAGUGAAUGACCUUGUGUAUAUGUCAUUUUGAUACACUCAGGUGUAUCCACAGGGUAAAUCCAUUUGUGGUUUUGAAAACUAUUGCCAAAUUGCCCUCCAUGGGAGUCAAACCACUUUAACACUCCCAUGAACAAUUUACGGAUGAGAGUGCCUAUUUCUCCAGAUGCCAGAAAAUAAAGCGCGUAGUCAAACUUUUGAAUUUUUAUCAAAUUGAUAUGUGAAAAAAAUGAUGUUUCAGUGUAGUCUCAAAAUAUCUUCCUCUUUAUUAUGACUGAGGGAGCAUAUUUUUUCACCUUAAGGGAUAUUUGCAUUUCCUUGUCUGUGGACUGACUAUUCAUGGUCAUUUCUCAUUUUUCUAUUGUGUUGCUUACCUUUUGGUUUAUUGACUUCUUUCAGCUCUUUAUAUACGAAGGAGAUAAACCCUUUGUCUGAAUUAUUAGUUGCAAAUAUUUUUCCUAGUUUGUCAUUUGCAUACUUUAGGUUUCACCAUGCAAAAGUGUUUUUUUUGUUGAAUUUAUCAUUUUUUAUUGCUUUGGCAUUUUGAGUCAUAUAUAGAAAGAUAUUCUCCACUUUAUGAGAAUAAAACAUUCCCCCAUGAUUUCUUCUAGUAAUAAAGUUUCACUUUUUACAUUUGAAUCUUUAAGUUGGAGUUUACACUGGUGAAGGGUAUGAAGAAGGAUCCAACUUUAUCUUUUUUCAGAUGCCUACCCAGUGGUAUUAUACCAUUUCGUAAAAAGUCAGCCCCACCCCCAUCAUUGUGAGAUGUAUGUAAAUUACCUGUAAAUUCAUAUAUGUACUCAGGCUAUUUCUGGACUUUCUAUUCUAAUCCAUUGGUCUAUUUACUCAUGUUCCAGAACCACCACGCUGUUCUAAUUAUUGAGAUUUUACAGUGUGGCAUAAUAACUAGUGGGGCUUUUCUCCAUUCAUAAAACAAUGUGUUUAGAAUAUUCCGGGUGAACUAAGGGGAAGCUGACUGAGGUAGGCAGACCCACUUGAACGCUCUGCAAUAGUCCAAGGACUGAGUGGACCAGAAUGGGCAAAGAAACAGAAGCACCACCCCUCUAAAGGAAGAAUUGUCAAGGCUCAGUGAUGAAGUCUUAACAAGGAAGGAGGAAGGAGAAGUUAAAACGACUUGAAGGUUUUUGAUUUCCUGACUUCUGGAUGGCUCUGGGCCCUAGAAAGAAGCUUCGAAACAAAACUGCCUUCCCUACCAGAACUUUCUCCCAUCUCAACCUUUACCUCCAAAACUUGCCACUAUUUGUGGUUUUAUAAAAUAGUCCUGAAUUCACUGUUGCUUAAAUUUUAAUAUUUCCUAUUAAAAAUGUAAUACAAACAGGUUACUGAAAAUAUAGGAAACAGAAAAAAUUCACUCAUAAUAGAAUCUCCAAUACAACCA